AUAGAAAGAAACGAUGACUGACCUAAUGAGUGAAAAGCUCAAGGACAUGAAGACAAUGCAGAAAUGUCUACAACUAGUGAUUAAAUAUAUAACGCCUUCUCUGAAAGUACACCCUAAAAAUACAGAAAAUUUUCAGUAAAGCAAGAUAUAUAUAUAUAAUGAACUGGCUACUCAUUCCUUGUUACGUUCCUCUUGUCUUCGUAUAGCAAACAUACAUAUAUUUCGACUGCAUAUAAUAGAAUACAUAUAAGAAAUCUUAUGAUGAAUGCUUUAAUUUAUUUAUUAGUCCGUUCUUAAAUCGUCAUUUGUUAACUCUUUCAUAUAACUUGUAUAAUUAGACUAAUAAAUGUUGUGUAAAAUGCAUGCAGUCGAAUCAUCAUGAGCUAGCAGUGGGCGUGCAUGCCUAAUUAAAAAGUCCAUGUACGUAUAACCUUACUUAUUCUUGACCUUGUUUCUUCUUCUUUUUUCCUUGUGUUUAAGUUAAAUACUUAAUUGAAUUGGCCGCUCAUUGAGUCAAUGUUUUGACGCCUCAUCUGCUGGUAAAACUGAAGGAUGAACUCCUCGGCCUUGGCAUCGAUCAUGUCGUCAGCACCAAUAGCAUCGAAGACCUGGUCAGGAUCCUCUUCUUCCUCCUCGUCAUCGAGUUCUU
RNAcentral lists this long non-coding RNA (649 nucleotides) under Nicotiana benthamiana. Its description in RNAcentral is "long non-coding RNA (NBEN_LNC042383)". The record is from RNAcentral. Lineage: Eukaryota; Viridiplantae; Streptophyta; Magnoliopsida; Solanales; Solanaceae.